GAGACAAGCAUAUGACUACUGGCAGGAUCAACCAGGUAGCAUUCCUCCACGACGCCGCGCGCCGCCCUUGCGCCGCCGGGGGCGGUCCCCAAGGGGCGGGCGCGGCCGUCACACGUUAUCAUAUCGGAGCUCCUCUUAGGGCCGGGGAACCGUUCCCCAGCCCGCGGCGUGCGCUGGGUCCGAGAGCAUUGCACUUCCCCGUGGGCCACGCGGCCGGAUGAGGCUCGGUGGAACACAGGGGGCGCUUCGCUGUCCUCCCGCGCCCGUCAGAAGGCGCCGGAGGGAGGCUGAUUGCGAGCGGCCCGCUUCCCCUGAAGGGGUAGGGGGCACAAGAACCGGCCUCUGGGGCACCAUCCCACCCCAAGGCAACCGACACGGAUUGCCUGCCGACCGUUCGGUGGACGAGCACGGAGCCAGCCGGCAGAGACAAUCCAAACACCCUCAC
This 445-nucleotide unclassified non-coding RNA is filed under the name Albizia glaberrima. RNAcentral's name for it is "partial external transcribed spacer". The record is from RNAcentral. Lineage: Eukaryota; Viridiplantae; Streptophyta; Magnoliopsida; Fabales; Fabaceae.